This is a long non-coding RNA of Zingiber officinale, 671 nucleotides long. RefSeq lists it as uncharacterized. The record is from RefSeq and is a predicted model, not a curated record. NCBI's taxonomy places the organism in Eukaryota, Viridiplantae, Streptophyta, Magnoliopsida, Zingiberales, Zingiberaceae. The transcript has 4 exons.
UUAGAAGAAGUCAACAAAAUUCUGUGUAUAAUUGGGAUGAUUUUGAUGAAUAUUGUGCAAAAGUUGAAACUUCAGAGACUAAGAAAUCUGAAUUGGUAGAUUAUCUUGAAAAGGGCCGUCUAAAGAAGAAUGAGAUUCCUAAAAUUUUUUCAUGUUUAGAAUGGUGGAGGAUGAAUAGAAUGCAGUAUCCAAUAUUGUCAAAGAUAGCAGCUGAUAUUUUAGCUAUUCCAGUGAGUUCAGUGGCUUCAAAAGCAACAUUUAGUGCAGGGACAAGAGUUAUUGAUUCUUAUCGUUCAUCUCUCUCUCCAGACACAGUGCAGACUCUACUGUGUGGGGGUGAUUGGCUUCGACAUAUACAUGGACUGAAAAAGAAGACUAAAAAAGCUAAAACUUAUCAAGAAAUUUUUCUUCCAGUAUCUACCUCUUAAAAAAUUUGAUAUGGAAUUUUGGAAACACAUGUUAAACAAAGAAGAAGAUAUGGAAAUUGCUGCAGAAUUUUGAUAUGGAAACACAUAUGUUAAACACAUGUUAAAGUUGCAGUAUAGGUGGUAUGAUUGAGAAUUUGAUAUGGAGAAGAAGAUAUUGAUUGCUGCAGAAAUUUAAUGUUUUGAGUAGUUUGGGUGGUUUGAAUUUGGAAUAUUAUGUUUUUGGAUUUGGUUAAUUUUGUUGGG